This is a non-coding RNA of Salvelinus sp. IW2-2015, 1175 nucleotides long. The record is from RefSeq and is a predicted model, not a curated record. Lineage: Eukaryota; Metazoa; Chordata; Actinopteri; Salmoniformes; Salmonidae.
AUCUGAUUAAGACCAGAGAGAGACAAGAAUCUAAUAACGGGAAGAGUUCCUCAGAGGAAACAGACCGAGACGCUAACCAACACCACUGCUCCCACUGUGGAAAGAGUUUUAGGUGGUUAGGGCCUGAAAAUGCAUGAGAGAAUACAUACAGGAGAAAAGCCCUACCACUGUUCCACUGUGGAAAGAAUUUUACUCAGUUAGGGGCCUGGUUGGGCAUGAGAGAAACACACUGGAGAGAAGCCUUAUCACUGUUCUCACUGUGGAAAGAGUUUUAGGUGGUUACGGGUCUGAAAACGCAUGAGAGAAUACACACGGAGAGAAGCCUUAUCAUGUUCUCACUGUGGAACAGUUUUAGGUGUUAGUGAGCCUGAAAACGCAUGAGAGAAACACACAGGAGAAAACCUUUCCAAUGUUCCAGUGUGAAAAGAGUUUUAGGUGGUCAGGGAGUCUGAAAAAGCAUGAGAGAAAACACCACAGGAGUAAAGCCUUUUCCAACAUACUAAUACACAGGAGGAGACAACAUACCACUGCUCUCAUUGUGAAAAGACAUUUUCCCAGUCAGAGGACCUGAAAUCAACAUGAGAGAAUAGAGAGGCUGUGUUCUGACUUAUGUUUCUGACUGAGAAUUUGUCCACGGCCAGGAUUCACAGGGCCAGGGUGUCCGCUAUGGACACCUGGAAGAAAUCAGCAGCGGACAUUUCUGAAGGUUUAUCCAACAGACCUGUACAUCCAUGAAUGGAUCUCUAUAAUGUGUAACUAUUUCUGAAGGUUUAUCCAACAGACCUGUACAUCCAUGAAUGGAUCUCUAUAAUGUGUAACUAUUUCUGAAGGUUUAUCCAACAGACCUGUACAUCCAUGAAUGGAUCUCUAUAAUGUGUAACUAUUUCUGCUGUAUUGUAAUGUAUUGUUUAAUAGAUGUACUAUGUUAGGUAUAUUUAUCUGUGGUUUUAUUUCAACAGAUUUUACUGAUGCUAUUAGAUUGCAGUGUGGGGGGAUUUUAUAUAUACAGAGACUUCAGAAAGUAUUCACACCCCUUGACUGGUCCCACAUGUUGUUGUGUUACAUCCUGAAUGUAUAAUGGUUCCCCCUUGACUUGUCCCACAUGUUGUUGUGUUACAGCCUGAAUUUAUAAUGGAUUCAAUACCCCAUAAUGUCAAAGUGGAAUUACGUUUUUG